UAAAAAUGCUUUUGUUUCAAU
This 21-nucleotide non-coding RNA is filed under the name Caenorhabditis elegans. The record is from RNAcentral. Lineage: Eukaryota; Metazoa; Nematoda; Chromadorea; Rhabditida; Rhabditidae.